UACGAAGGGGGCUAGCGUUGUUCGGAAUCACUGGGCGUAAAGGGCGCGUAGGCGGCUUUAUAAGUCGGGGGUGAAAGCCUGUGGCUCAACCACAGAAUUGCCUUCGAUACUGUAGAGCUUGAGACCGGAAGAGGUAAGUGGAACUGCGAGUGUAGAGGUGAAAUUCGUAGAUAUUCGCAAGAACACCAGUGGCGAAGGCGGCUUACUGGUCCGGUUCUGACGCUGAGGCGCGAAAGCAUGGGGAGCAAACAGG
RNAcentral lists this ribosomal RNA (253 nucleotides) under uncultured bacterium. RNAcentral describes it as "partial 16S ribosomal RNA". It matches the Rfam family "Bacterial small subunit ribosomal RNA", at positions 524 to 776 of the family's 1533-position model. The record is from RNAcentral.